UCAAGCAGAAAGGGCACAGGGCGGAUGCCUUGGCACUAAGGGCCGAAGAAAGACGUGAUAAGCUGCGAUAAGCUUCGGGGAGGAGCAAAUAUCCAUUGAUCCGGAGAUCUCUGAAUGGGGAAACCCACAUGAGCAGACCUCAUGUAUCCAUACGCCAAUCCAUAACGUAUGGAGGGGAACCCGGGGAACUGAAACAUCUAAGUACCCGGAGGAAAAGAAAGAAAACUCGAUUCCGUAAGUAGCGGCGAGCGAACGCGGAAGAGCCUAAACCGGUGUGCGUGCACACCGGGGUUACGGACUGCAUUUAAGAUUCUGCAAUGUUAGUGGAACGGUUUUGGGAAAGCCGGCCGGAGAGGGUGAAAGCCCCGUAGACGAAAACAGAGCAGACUGAGCAGGAUCCAGAGUACCGCGGGACACGAGAAACCCUGCGGGAAGUGAGGGGGACCACCCCCUAAGGCUAAAUACCACUUAGUGACCGAUAGCGCAUAGUACUGUGAAGGAAAGGUGAAAAGGACCCCGGGAGGGGAGUGAAAGAGAACCUGAAACCCUGUGUCUACAAGCUGUGGGAGUGCUUUAUAUGCACGACCGCGUACUUUUUGUAGAACGGUCCGGCGAGUUGCGCUCACUGGCAAGGUUAAGCACCGGAGGUGCGGAGCCGUAGGGAAACCAAGUCUUAAGAGGGCCAGAGUCAGUGGGGGCAGACCCGAAACCGGGUGAUCUAUCCAUGUCCAGGUUGAAGCUGCCGUAAGAGGCAGUGGAGGACCGAACCCACAUCCGUUGAAAAGGGUGGGGAUGAGGUGUGGAUAGGGGAGAAAUUCCAAUCGAACCCGGAGAUAGCUGGUUCUCCUCGAAAUAGCUUUAGGGCUAGCCUUGGUAGAGAUUUGCGGAGGUAGAGCACUGAAUUUCCUAGGGGGCGUCAAAGCCUACCGAAGAAUAUCAAACUCCGAAUGCCGUGUAAUUGCUUACCAGGAGUCAGACUGCACGAGAUAAGUUGGGCAGUCAAAAGGGAAAGAGCCCAGACCUUCAGUUAAGGUCCCAAAGUGUGCGUUAAGUGGAAAAGGAUGUGGGAUUUCGAAGACAACCAGGAUGUUGGCUCAGAAGCAGCCAUUCAUUCAAAGAGUGCGUAAUAGCUCACUGGUCGAGAGGUCCUGCGCCGAAAAUGUCCGGGGCUGAAACGCGCCACCGAAACUAAGGAAUCUGAAAAGAUUGGUAGAGGAGCAUUGCAUGCGGGAAGAAGCAGUACCGUAAGGAGCUGUGGACUGCAUGGAAGAGAGAAUGCCGGAAUGAGUAGCGAGAUAGAGGUGGGAAUCCUCUAGGCCGAAUAUCCAAGGUUUCCAGGGUAAAGCUGAUCUGCCCUGGGUAAGUCGGGGCCUAAGGUGAGGACGAGAGUCGUAGCCGAUGGACAACAGGUGGAGAUUCCUGUACUAUGAUAUGACAGAACUGUGGGGACACGUGCAGAGAGCGGAAGCCGGGAAUGGGAUCCCGGUGCAAGCGAGGUACCAGCCGCAUUGGAAAAACCGUGUGGCAAUGGGAAGACGUGAUGCGGAGUGAAGUUUAGUAAUGAAGUCCGUGAGCUGUGCGUCAAGAAAAGCCGCUAUUGUUCAUACCAUACCCGUACCGUAAACCGACACAGGUGGAUGAGGAGAGAAUCCUAAGGCCGGCGGAAGAAGCAUUGUCAAGGAACUCGGCAAAAUGACCCCGUAACUUCGGGAGAAGGGGUGCCUGCGAGAGCAGGCCGCAGAGAAUAGGCUCAAGCAACUGUUUAGCAAAAACACAGGUCUAUGCGAAACCGAAAGGUGAGGUAUAUGGGCUGACGCCUGCCCGGUGCUGGAAGGUUAAGAGGAGAGGUUAGCGGUAACGCGAAGCUUUGAAUUUAAGCCCCAGUAAACGGCGGCCGUAACUAUAACGGUCCUAAGGUAGCGAAAUUCCUUGUCGGGUAAGUUCCGACCCGCACGAAAGGCGUAAUGAUUUGAGCGCUGUCUCGACAAUGCAUCCGGUGAAAUUGAAGUACCAGUGAAGAUGCUGGUUAC
Molecule: ribosomal RNA, 2030 nt
Filed under: human gut metagenome
Description: bacterial LSU rRNA
Rfam family: Bacterial large subunit ribosomal RNA
Source: RNAcentral